AGGAAGAGGAAGUUGGCACCCAAGCAAACUUGUACAGACCAGCCUCCUCUUUACCAAGAUCCAUAGGCAUCUUCAUAGAAGGGGCCUGUAACAUGUGGAGGAAACAUGAAGUUGCAGUGAACAAGACUAUGCAAUGCAACUGUUUUACUAGUUUGUGGACAGAAAUUAAGUUGUGUUUGAAAGAAGGAACAAGUAAGACAUCAUGAAGAAUGAUGAAUGGAUUUAAUGCAAAAGAUCCUGUGCAUGUCACUUUCACUUUAUAUCCAUUAGGAAGAGUUACAAGAUAGGGUACAGUUAAGGGUGUGAGAUUGAAGAGUAAAUCUUGAUUAAAGGUCAUAUGGUUAGAUGCCCCUGAGUCUAUUAUCCAGGUGGCAGAAUUAAUGUGAGUAAGCAUGCAAAUUUUGGAAUCAGAAACAUGGCUCUAAGUAAGCAUAGUACCAGCAAAAUUGGCAGCAUACAUGGGAGGAGGAGUCUGGGCAGUGGAGUCCCCUAACUGAGUUUGUUGAAGCAAGGUCAUCAAUUGGUCAUAUUGUUGUCUGCUCAACCCAGUAUCACAGAAAUCUGGCCAUCCAUGUUUGGAACAGGGUGAUGGCUUUCAGGAGGAUUUCCAUGAGGAACAGACA
This 623-nucleotide long non-coding RNA is filed under the name Nicotiana benthamiana. Its description in RNAcentral is "long non-coding RNA (NBEN_LNC010673)". The record is from RNAcentral. Lineage: Eukaryota; Viridiplantae; Streptophyta; Magnoliopsida; Solanales; Solanaceae.